UACGAAGGGGGCUAGCGUUGCUCGGAAUCACUGGGCGUAAAGGGUGCGUAGGCGGGUUUUUAAGUCAGGGGUGAAAUCCUGGAGCUCAACUCCAGAACUGCCUUUGAUACUGAAGAUCUUGAGUCCGGGAGAGGUGAGUGGAACUGCGAGUGUAGAGGUGAAAUUCGUAGAUAUUCGCAAGAACACCAGUGGCGAAGGCGGCUCACUGGCCCGGUACUGACGCUGGAGGCACGAAAGCGUGGGGAGCAAACAGGG
Molecule: ribosomal RNA, 255 nt
Filed under: uncultured bacterium
Lineage: Bacteria
Description: partial 16S ribosomal RNA
Rfam family: Bacterial small subunit ribosomal RNA
Source: RNAcentral